AUUUUCAUUGCAAGGAUAUUACCAAAUUCAUUUUGACAUUUCUAAACGCAUGUAUACUACGUUGGGUAUCGGGUUGUGGUAGUAUGGUUCUGUAGUUUUGAAUCCAAAAGAUUUGUAAAGCCUCACAGCUGGUAAAAGUGUGUCAAGAGUAUCCAAAACCAUACUAGAAUACCCCAAUUUUUCGGAAUACUGUAUAAUCUCUUUCACCAACAAGACUCCUAAUUUCAGACCUCGACUCUCUGGCCUAACAUACAAGCGUUUCAUUUCACAACAGCCAGGACCGCCAAAUGGGUGGACAGCUACACACCCUAGAGCUGUUCCAUGCUCGUCCCUUGCAACUAGCAUAAUUCCAUGAGGUGGUCCAUACUUUCUCAUAGGAUUCGCCAGUUCAUCAUCAACGUUUUGAAAUGUAAGAUCCAUCCCAAAUUCUUGGAGAUAUUCUUGGACCAACAUUUUGAAGUCAUCGAGAUCUUGAGGUAGCUUCACAGCUGAGAUCGAGAUGUUGCUUGGCUUCAUCAUAGUAUGAUGGAAGAUUAUAUUUUCACUGCAAUAAUUAACAAAAGUCGACCCCCGAAUAGAAAAGAAAGAUUACUUGGUAAACAAAAACUACUCUACUAGAAUUUUGAACGUUUUAAUAACGCCAUAAGAAUGUACUUUCGAAUUUUUAAUUAUAUAAUCAAUGUCAGAUUCUGCGGUACUAUUAGGAGUGCGCCGAAAUUUAGAAAGAUUUUAAUAUGAUAGUGAAGCAGGCCAAGCCGCAAAAGCAGAAGAAAAAUCUUGCUCCGACAAUAUCCGUGCUUUCUAGAAUUACUAAGUGUAUACGAUUAUAAAAAAAAAGAUGAGAUUUGUUACUGAUAAGCAGAA
Molecule: non-coding RNA, 864 nt
Organism: Schizosaccharomyces pombe (fission yeast)
Lineage: Eukaryota; Fungi; Ascomycota; Schizosaccharomycetes; Schizosaccharomycetales; Schizosaccharomycetaceae
Source: the annotation of a GenBank genome assembly